GAAUGCUGACAUAAGUAACGAUAAAGCGGGUGAAAAGCCCGCUCGCCGGAAGACCAAGGGUUCCUGUCCAACGUUAAUCGGGGCAGGGUGAGUCGACCCCUAAGGCGAGGCCGAAAGGCGUAGUCGAUGGGAAACAGGUUAAUAUUCCUGUACUUGGUGUUACUGCGAAGGGGGGACGGAGAAGGCUAUGUUGGCCGGGCGACGGUUGUCCCGGUUUAAGCGUGUAGGCUGAUUUUCCAGGCAAAUCCGGAAAAUCAAGGCUGAGGCGUGAUGACGAGGCACUACGGUGCUGAAGCAACAAAUGCCCUGCUUCCAGGAAAAGCCUCUAAGCAUCAGGUAACAUCAAAUCGUACCCCAAACCGACACAGGUGGUCAGGUAGAGAAUACCAAGGCGCUUGAGAGAACUCGGGUGAAGGAACUAGGCAAAAUGGUGCCGUAACUUCGGGAGAAGGCACGCUGAUAUGUAGGUGAAGCGACUUGCUCGUGGAGCUGAAAUCAGUCGAAGAUACCAGCUGGCUGCAACUGUUUAUUAAAAACACAGCACUGUGCAAACACGAAAGUGGACGUAUACGGUGUGACGCCUGCCCGGUGCCGGAAGGUUAAUUGAUGGGGUUAGCGGUAACGCGAAGCUCUUGAUCGAAGCCCCGGUAAACGGCGGCCGUAACUAUAACGGUCCUAAGGUAGCGAAAUUCCUUGUCGGGUAAGUUCCGACCUGCACGAAUGGCGUAAUGAUGGCCAGGCUGUCUCCACCCGAGACUCAGUGAAAUUGAACUCGCUGUGAAGAUGCAGUGUACCCGCGGCAAGACGGAAAGACCCCGUGAACCUUUACUAUAGCUUGACACUGAACAUUGAGCCUUGAUGUGUAGGAUAGGUGGGAGGCUUUGAAGUGUGGACGCCAGUCUGCAUGGAGCCGACCUUGAAAUACCACCCUUUAAUGUUUGAUGUUCUAACGUUGGCCCGUUAUCCGGGUUGCGGACAGUGUCUGGUGGGUAGUUUGACUGGGGCGGUCUCCUCCUAAAGAGUAACGGAGGAGCACGAAGGUUGGCUAAUCCUGGUCGGACAUCAGGAGGUUAGUGCAAUGGCAUAAGCCAGCUUGACUGCGAGCGUGACGGCGCGAGCAGGUGCGAAAGCAGGUCAUAGUGAUCCGGUGGUUCUGAAUGGAAGGGCCAUCGCUCAACGGAUAAAAGGUACUCCGGGGAUAACAGGCUGAUACCGCCCAAGAGUUCAUAUCGACGGCGGUGUUUGGCACCUCGAUGUCGGCUCAUCACAUCCUGGGGCUGAAGUAGGUCCCAAGGGUAUGGCUGUUCGCCAUUUAAAGUGGUACGCGAGCUGGGUUUAGAACGUCGUGAGACAGUUCGGUCCCUAUCUGCCGUGGGCGCUGGAGAACUGAGGGGGGCUGCUCCUAGUACGAGAGGACCGGAGUGGACGCAUCACUGGUGUUCGGG
Molecule: ribosomal RNA, 1445 nt
Filed under: Escherichia coli
Lineage: Bacteria; Pseudomonadati; Pseudomonadota; Gammaproteobacteria; Enterobacterales; Enterobacteriaceae
Description: partial 23S ribosomal RNA
Rfam family: Bacterial large subunit ribosomal RNA
Source: RNAcentral